CGGCGGACGGGUGAGUAAUGCCUAGGAAUCUGCCUGGUAGUGGGGGACAACGUUUCGAAAGGAACGCUAAUACCGCAUACGUCCUACGGGAGAAAGCAGGGGACCUUCGGGCCUUGCGCUAUCAGAUGAGCCUAGGUCGGAUUAGCUAGUUGGUGAGGUAAUGGCCCACCAAGGCGACGAUCCGUAACUGGUCUGAGAGGAUGAUCAGUCACACUGGAACUGANACACGGUCCAGACUCCUACGGGAGGCAGCAGGC
Molecule: ribosomal RNA, 257 nt
Filed under: uncultured Pseudomonas sp.
Lineage: Bacteria; Pseudomonadati; Pseudomonadota; Gammaproteobacteria; Pseudomonadales; Pseudomonadaceae
Description: partial 16S ribosomal RNA
Rfam family: Bacterial small subunit ribosomal RNA
Source: RNAcentral